ACGGGUGCGUAACGCGUAUGCAACUUGCCUCACAGAGGGGGAUAACCCGUCGAAAGACGGACUAAUACCGCGUACACUCCACCUUGGGCAUCCAAGGUAGAGGAAAUGAAAUUCGCUGUGAGAUGGGCAUGCGUCCCAUUAGCUAGUUGGUGAGGUAACGGCUCACCAAGGCGACGAUGGGUAGGGGAACUGAGAGGUUGAACCCCCACACUGGUACUGAGACACGGACCAGACUCCUACGGGAGGCAGCAGUGAGGAAUAUUGGUCAAUGGGCGAGAGCCUGAACCAGCCAAGUCGCGUGAAGGAUGACUGUCUUAUGGAUUGUAAACUUCUUUUAUACGGGAAUAACAAGAGCCACGUGUGGCUCCCUGCAUGUACCGUAUGAAUAAGCAUCGGCUAACUCCGUGCCAGCAGCCGCGGUAAUACGGAGGAUGCGAGCGUUAUCCGGAUUUAUUGGGUUUAAAGGGUGCGUAGGCGGCCUGUUAAGUCAGCGGUGAAAUCUAGGAGCUUAACUCCUAAAUUGCCAUUGAUACUGGCGGGCUUGAGUGUAGAUGAGGUAGGCGGAAUGCGUGGUGUAGCGGUGGAAUGCAUAGAUAUCACGCAGAACUCCGAUUGCGAAGGCAGCUUACUAAAGGUACAACUGACGCUGAAGCACGAAAGCGUGGGUAUCAAACAGGAUUAGAUACCCUGGUAGUCCACGCAGUAAAC
Molecule: ribosomal RNA, 708 nt
Filed under: uncultured bacterium
Lineage: Bacteria
Description: bacterial SSU rRNA
Rfam family: Bacterial small subunit ribosomal RNA
Source: RNAcentral